CCCGCUGAACUUAAGCAUAUCAAUAAGCGGAGGAAAAGAAACUAACAAGGAUUCCCCUAGUAACUGCGAGUGAAGCGGGAAAAGCUCAAAUUUAAAAUCUGGCGGUCUCACCGUUCGAGUUGUAUAUUUUCAGAAGCAUUAUCCGCGCCGGACCGUACACAAGCUCUCCUGGAAUAGAGCGUCAUACGAGGGUGAGAAUCCCGUCUUUUGUACAGACUCCCGGGGCAUUGUGAUGUGCUCUCUCAUAGACGAGCUGUUUGUGAAUGCAAUCUCACAAUGGGUGGGAAGAUUCCAUCUAAAGCUAAAUAUUGGCGAGAGACCGAUAGCGAACAAGUACCGUGAGGGAAAGAUGAAAAGAACUUUGGAAAGAGAGUUAAACAGUACGUGAAAUUGCUGAAAGGGAAACGCUUGCAGUCAGUCGCGAUCUGCAGGACUCAGCCAUGCUUUUCUGUGGUGUACUUCCUGUUCAUUGGGUCAACAUCAGUUUUGGUCAGUGGAAAAAGGUUCAGGGAAUGUGGCUCUUUCGGGAGUGUUAUAGCCUUGGAUCAUAUGACAUUGACUGGGACUGAGGAACUCAGCACGCCGCAAGGCCGGGUUUUUAACCACGUUCGUGCUUAGGAUGUUGGCAUAAUGGCUUUAAUCGACCCGUCUUGAAACACGG
Molecule: ribosomal RNA, 661 nt
Filed under: uncultured fungus
Lineage: Eukaryota; Fungi
Description: eukaryotic LSU rRNA
Rfam family: Eukaryotic large subunit ribosomal RNA
Source: RNAcentral